GCUCUUAUCGUCUAGUGGUUAGGACAAUACUUUCUCAAAGUAUAAACGGGAGUUCAAUUCUCCUUGAGAGUA
RNAcentral lists this transfer RNA (72 nucleotides) under bacterium AB1. Its description in RNAcentral is "tRNA-Glu". It matches the Rfam family "tRNA". Rfam says of the family: Transfer RNA (tRNA) molecules are approximately 80 nucleotides in length. Their secondary structure includes four short double-helical elements and three loops (D, anti-codon, and T loops). The record is from RNAcentral.